RNAcentral lists this ribosomal RNA (497 nucleotides) under uncultured bacterium. Its description in RNAcentral is "partial 16S ribosomal RNA". It matches the Rfam family "Bacterial small subunit ribosomal RNA", at positions 28 to 507 of the family's 1533-position model. The record is from RNAcentral.
GAUGAACGCUGGCGGCGUGCCUAAUACAUGCAAGUCGAGCGAACGGACGAGAAGCUUGCUUCUCUGAUGUUAGCGGCGGACGGGUGAGUAACACGUGGAUAACCUACCUAUAAGACUGGGAUAACUUCGGGAAACCGGAGCUAAUACCGGAUGAUAUUUUGAACCGCAUGGUUCAAUAGUGAAAGACGGUUUUGCUGUCACUUAUAGAUGGAUCCGCGCUGCAUUAGCUAGUUGGUAAGGUAACGGCUUACCAAGGCAACGAUGCGUAGCCGACCUGAGAGGGUGAUCGGCCACACUGGAACUGAGACACGGUCCAGACUCCUACGGGAGGCAGCAGUAGGGAAUCUUCCGCAAUGGGCGAAAGCCUGACGGAGCAACGCCGCGUGAGUGAUGAAGGUCUUCGGAUCGUAAAACUCUGUUAUUAGGGAAGAACAUAUGUGUAAGUAACUGUGCACAUCUUGACGGUACCUAAUCAGAAAGCCACGGCUAACUACGUG